RNA transcript from Carassius gibelio (silver crucian carp), 4765 nucleotides. RefSeq lists it as uncharacterized. NCBI's taxonomy places the organism in Eukaryota, Metazoa, Chordata, Actinopteri, Cypriniformes, Cyprinidae. The record is from RefSeq and is a predicted model, not a curated record. The transcript is spliced from 3 exons.
UGUCUGCUUCAUCAACGUCUGAAACCCCACCUCCUCCAGUCUCUCUCUCCACUUCGUCUCAGGCGGCGUGGAAUCCCGGCUGUGUUUAAUUGCUGAGUGGUAAGAUCUGAGGGAGAGAUCAGGAGCCGCUGCGUCUGUCAACGCUUUACGAGCCCCAACCCCGGGAGAGAGAGACAGGGAAGGUGUAGGAAGGAAGUGUUUGGAGUUUGGGAAUUCUUACGCAGUGGGGAGGUGAAACGCUGAAGUAAGACUUCAGUGUUGGAGGAAGGAAAAGAGGGAGGGAAAGAAAAGAGGCCCACCGUUGGAGAAAUCGCAACAAGAGGGAAAAGUGGGAAAACAAGAAUAAGUUAGAAAAAGGAGGAAGGAAGGACGGAAGGAAGGAAGGGGGAGGUGAGCGAAAAGUUAGAGAGGGAGAGAGAGAGAGAGAGAGUAAAACGCAGUGAACGAGAGGAGACGCAGAUGAGAAAAACAGACGCUGUGGAUGGCCUGGGUGGAGAGAGAACCAGUUGUUUUCUAAGUCGCCUUUCAGACUGGAAUGCACUCGGAGAAUUUGAGAUUCCCAACGCCUUACUGCAAACUUUGCUUGCGACGCACGCCGGGCCCCGCAGACGGAUCAUGGCUGCGUAUGGAGUCCAGCGUAGCCCCGUUCCCGAAGGAGUUGGGGAUGGAGCAAGCGGAGAGGACUGGAUCAUUCCCGGCGCGGCAGGUUUACACCGAGGAGAUCCGGAAUCCGUGCUACAGGUGGGACUCGCCAUGCAUUCGGCGGGAGUGUGGAUGCAUCCAGCGGUGGUAUUACCCAGAGCUGUUGCAUCCCUUCAACGGUGACCAUGUUUUGAAGGUCAGACAUCACCGGUGUCACUCAUCCUACAUCCAGGAACGGGAUAACAUUCAUCAGUCUGAAUACAACGGAUAUUGUGAGAGGAGACGAGUGUCGUUCCGGCAUCACAAGGAACGAUCCGAGACUGGUGGACAAUCACACCGUAAUGGGCCGAACUCUGGACAGGUGGCUUUUUUCCCAACUGAGGUGCCCCCCAGCAAGUUGGGAUGCUCCAGGGCACUCGGGAACGGGCUGCAGGUGAACGGACCGGAGCGGGAAGUAAGGACGUCUCGGGGGAAUGCAGGUCUCGAGAAACAUGGCAAGCAAAGGACGAGCCAGGGAACAGUACGGGAACAGAUCAAACAAGUGGUCACGGAGCUCGAGGAAGUGCUGGGUGGUCUCAAACAGGUCCAGUUGGAGAUGAAAGAGGUUGUCCAAAAGAUCGACAUUCUAACGUCCAACAUUGACCUUGGUGAAGACCAACCAAGUCUAUCCAAUGGACUCUCCCAAGAUAACACCAAAAGCAGUCGAACUGGUGUUGUUGCAUUGAUUCACAAUUCAAACGGCGAGGAGGGCAUGUCAACUUCCAAUUCCUCACUUGAACACAGCCCUGUCACUUUGGAUUUAGUUCACAUUAACAGUCCAUCGCCAAUGAGAAACCGCAUAAGCCCGUCCCCUCCUGAGCUACGAUCCGUUACUGUUGAGGAUAAAGGCAAACGAGUUGGGAAACAGAGCUCAGAGACUCAAAGGACUCAAAGGAUGGCAAAUGGAAACUGCCUACUGCAUCAAACAGCAAGGAAAGGCCUAUUGGAAAACCACAGACCCACUGUAGCUCCAGAAGUGUGCACUAACUCAAAUAAAACCCACAGGCUUCCACCUUACCCUCAGAACGGACAGGUGAAGAUGAGGACCCCUCCCUAUCCUGGAAAACAUAAGAUGCUCUCCUCCACCAUAGUGUAAGGACACAAAACUCGCUAUCACAGAAACCCAAUCAUCAGCAAAGAAGAAAACACACGCAUAUACUCACAGAUACAUUGAACACAUGCUCAACCGAUUACCAAGUAACUCGUCCAAAUGUAUCUUGGUGACAAAACUUGGGGGACUGAUGCCACACAACCCGGCUGACUCACACCGGAGGACGGAGGCCGCGGGGCAGUGACUAUAUUUCCCAUGGAAGACUCCAGAAACAUCUCAAACCCCUAGCUCUUUCUCUCUCACACCCCUGCUGUAAAAAAGCUAGUUUGGACCAACUUAAAGUCACCAUGAAAUGGCAUUCCCAGCUCAAAUUUUCUUACUUCAUGUGGUUGGAGGGGCUGGGUCAAAAAGCAAGAGGGAUUUGUGAUGUCAGCUGAAAAGGAAAUUAGUUUUAAAGGCGGAGCAAGUUGUUAAAGAAAGAUUAUGAAAAAAGCUUUUUUUAAAAAAAAUAAGAAUAAUGUGCAUCAAGGAAUUUUAAACAAACAGGACCGUGUUUUAAGAAAGUAAAUAUGGUAACGUGCAAUAAACCAAUCAGAGUCUCAUCUCCAUUGCCUUUAAGAGCCAGUUGCGCUCAUGCCAUGACUAUCCAUUGUGACGUGCAUUUAUAUAUACAUAUAUAACACAGAAUAUAACAUAUAUAUAACAAAGAAAAAACAAUUGAGCCAGACUUUAGACCAGGUUUGAGUUGGUCUAUGGAGGCGUCUAUUUUCAGCUCCUUAAAAUAGCAAUGUGCCUGAACACAUGCUCUUUUUUAGAGCAUGCCCAUGGGCGCAAAAAUGAGUGCAAAUGCAUUUGCUAAUUAAACGAUGUGGCGCUGGACUGAAACUAGCAAACACACUUGCACUGCCUUGCGUCGCAUUGCGCCGGGUGUGUGACCAUGGCAUCAGAAUUUUUUCUUUUUUUUGCAAAUAUAUGCAUUUAAAAUGCAUGACCCUUCCCUCUAGAAAACCAGUCCAAAAAUAUGGACUAUGCAUAGACUAGACCAGUGGUUCUCAAUUCCGGUCCGUAGCAACUGCAUAGCAACAUUCUAAAAAAAAACACAACAUUACACCUUAGCAACUGCAUGACAACACCUUGACAACUGCACGGCAACAUUCUAAAAAGCCAGACACAAUAUAACACCUUAGCAACUGUAUAAUGACACCUUGGCAACUGCACAGCAACAUUCUAAAAAGCUACUCACAGCACCUUAGCAACUGCAAAGCAAUGUCAAAAAAAUAUAUAUAUAUAAUUUAAUACUGCUAAACGAUAAAUGCUAAAUGAUAAAUGUCAUUUUGAGAUAUUUAAUAUGAAAAUAAACAAAAUUGUUCAUAUUAUUUUCUUUGUUCAAAACGUUAGUAAGAAGUGACUGGAAUUUAUUUAGAAAGUUCUUUUGUCAACUCAGUGCAGACUAGCUUUGGGUGGUUGUGACAUAAACUAAAGACUAAUGGGUAUUUUAAAAAGGCACCAUUCUUUCCUUAUGUCCCGCCCCAACUUCCUGUUUCAAUAGGAAAUACGUCAACACAGGAAAGAAAAGUGAGCUCAUCAAACCAUUUCAUGAGACUUUAACUGGUUUAGAUGGACACAGUGCUGGUGUGUCACAGGCACAAGUGGGUUAAACUGACUUUUUGUUUUUUUUGAAGGCAGACUAGUGUAAUAUAGUGAAAGGUCCCAAAACUUGCUGGUUAUUUAGGUUAACUGAACUAGUUUAGCUGGUUAAGGGUCAGUUCGGGUCAUUUCAGCAGGGCCUCUCUCUCUCUCUCAAGCUGCACUGUGUGAACCGUUUGGAAGGAGCUGCCCUUCUUAACUACCCUGUGACCUGAUAUCUUUAAAAGGAACACAACCAAGGAAUAAGCUGCUUUAGGCUGGAAAUGUAUGACUUUAUAAUAGGGCCUUGAGCUCUCAGAUGUAUGCAAACUAUCGCCAGUGCUCAUGUAGAUCUGAAAGACUGUCACUACCCAGCUAACAAAAACAUGUUCUAAGAACGUUUUGCUACCCAGUGUUGGGGAAAGUUACUUUUGGAAGUAAUGCAUUACAAUAAUGCCUUACUCCAUAAAAAACUACUAAAUACAUUCUUAGUUACUUUUAAUGGUAAGUAAUGCAUUACGUUACUUUUGUGUUACUUUUUUUCAACUGGGCUGGUCUUGCUUAAUUAGAUUUUUUCAUAAUAAAAAUCCCACAAGUUAUAUAUAUAUAUAUAUAUAUAUAUAUAUAUAUAUGUGUGUGUGUGUGUGUGUGUGUGUGUGUGUAUAGGCAACUGUAAGGCCUUAUUUGAAAAAGUAACACCAAUAUUUAAUUGUAAAUUUAAAAGUAGGAUGCGUUACUUUACUAGUUACUUAAAAAGCAAUCCGAUUACUUGUAAUGUAUUACCCACCAGCACUUUUGCUAACGUUCCCAUUAAGUUAUGAAACCGUUAUUUCUGAAUGUUCUCUGAACAUUUUUUAAUAUUAAUGGUCAAACGUUUGUUUACAACCUUCCAUGUUAGCUGGGUAGACCAUAAAAAGAGAAAGUGUUUUCUGAAUAUUGUUAUUAUUGCUAUUGUUAUUCAGACCAAAGAUUAAAAUGAUUUUUGUUCAGGGAGGCUGAAGGAUCUAGGAUUAUGUUAAGCUAAAGCUAAAUUAACAUUAACAUUGCCUCAAAGGCAGCUCACAAAAACACUUCAAAGAGGUAUAUAGCUUAGAAACAGAGUUUUUACUUCUGGAUUAAUGUAUAAGUGCAUUAUUGCAGCUGUGGACUGGAAUUAUUUAAUCAGUAUUUAAAGCCAGUAUAAGCCAUCCUUAUAAAUUGUUGCAAUCAUGUAGUGUCGUUUUCACUCUGUGGCCGAUAGAGGGCGCUUCUGACCACAGAACAACAGAAAGGUGACGUCAGUGACACGUGAAUGUCUUAUAAAUGUGUACAGCUCACAUGAAAUAAAACAUGAAGUGUUUAAAUUAUAUUCUCAUUGAGUUCUGAUCUUAUAAACAAACUCAAUAAAAUGGAUUUAUAUUUUCUAAA